AGGAUCAUUAUUGAAUAAACUUGAACAGGYUGUUUGCUGGCCCUUGUGGGUACGUGCACGCUUGUCAUCUUUAUUUCUCCAACUGUGCACAUAUUGUAGACCUGGGGAGGUGUUUUUGAUUUGUUUUCGAGUUUGGUACUGCUGCAUUCAUCAAUCAGCUUUACCUUUUUUUGCAUCCUUUCCAGGUCUAUGUCCCUUUUMACAAACCCUUGAAUCUGUUUAGAAUGUAUAAUAAAGUUAAAUAUACAACUUUCAGCAACGGAUCUCUUGGCUCUCGCAUCGAUGAAGAACGCAGCGAAAUGCGAUAAGUAAUGUGAAUUGCAGAAUUCAGUGAAUCAUCGAAUCUUUGAACGCAUCUUGCGCUCCUUGGUAUUCCGAGGAGCAUGCCUGUUUGAGUGUCAUUCAAGUUCUCAAACCAUGUUGAUUGUUUUCGAUGUGGCUUGGAUAUGGGGGUUUUUUUGCAGGCCUUUCGAGGUCAGCUCCUCUGAAAUGCAUUAGUAGUAUCUGAGCAGAGAAACUACCACAGGUGUGAUAAAUUUAUCUAUGCCUGGGUGAGCUGCAUGAACAGAUUGCGCUGCUUAUAAUGAGUGGGGAACCACGUUUGAUGAAUUUGACCUCAAAUCAGGUAGGACUACCCGCUGAACUUAAGCAUAUCAAUAAGCGGAGGAAAAGAAACUA
RNAcentral lists this ribosomal RNA (678 nucleotides) under uncultured Cortinariaceae. RNAcentral's name for it is "eukaryotic LSU rRNA". The stretch from base 248 to 401 matches the Rfam family "5.8S ribosomal RNA". The record is from RNAcentral. Lineage: Eukaryota; Fungi; Basidiomycota; Agaricomycetes; Agaricales; Cortinariaceae.